RNAcentral lists this ribosomal RNA (406 nucleotides) under uncultured bacterium. Its description in RNAcentral is "partial 16S ribosomal RNA". It matches the Rfam family "Bacterial small subunit ribosomal RNA", at positions 30 to 526 of the family's 1533-position model. The record is from RNAcentral.
AUUGAACGCUGGCGGCAGGCCUAACACAUGCAAGUCGAACGAGUGGCGGACGGGUGAGUAAUGUCUGGGAAACUGCCUGAUGGAGGGGGAUAACUACUGGAAACGGUAGCUAAUACCGCAUACCAUCGGAUGUGCCCAGAUGGGAUUGGCUAGUAGGUGGGGUAAAGGCUCACCUAGGCGACGAUCCCUAGCUGGUCUGAGAGGAUGACCAGCCACACUGGAACGGAGACACGGUCCAGACUCCUACGUGAGGCAGCAGUGGGGAAUAUUGGACAAUGGGCGCAAGCCGGAUGCAGCCAUGCCGCGUGUAUGAAGAAGGCCUUCGGGUUGUAAAAUACUUUCAGCGGGGAGGCGUUACCCGCCGAAGAAGCACCGGCUAACUCCGUGCCAGCAGCCGCGGUAAUUC